GGGAAGCGAGAAUCAACACAUCUGGUUAGUUAUCUUCAGCUAGAAACGGAGCUUGAGGCCCUGAGCGUGUUAAGUACUCAAAAUACCCCUGAGCUAAACACACCUCAGGCCUCUGUUGCUUUUUUAUCAGAAAGGAAACCUAAGUUGAAAGUUGGCUUUAGCAAAAUGGCAGUGAGAAAAACCAAGCCAGUGAGCAGCAUCCAGUCAUGGCUCUGCAUCAGCUCCUGCCUCCACAUUCAGCCCUGUUUGAGUUCUUGUCCAACCCUGUUUGAGUUCCUGUCCCAACUUCCUCCAAUGAUGGACUAUGGUCUGGACAUAUAAGCCAAUAAACCUGUUCCUCCCUAACUUGCCUUUUAGUUCAUGGUGUUUCAUAGCAGCAAUAGAAACACAAACUAAGACACUCCCCGGGACCUUUGUGAAUUGUAGUUCUCCUGUGUCUGACCCAUGUCUUUCUAUCUUCAUGGUUCUAACAUCUCUGUCAGUCUCUUUGAUGUUACUCUUCCCUGCAGUUCAUUAUCCACGCCCUCCUUCCUCUUCACCAGCAAUGAAACUCAAGGUCUAAUGCUUGUUGGUCAAACGCUGCACCACUGAGCCACAGUCCCAGCACCCAGAGUUUUGCUACUUAAAAAUUUAAGUUUGCCGGGUAGUGGUAGUCUGAAAAUGUAAAAAUUAAGUUCGCCUUUCAUCCUAGCUCUCAGGAGGCAGAGGCUAGCCUGGUCUACAGAGUGAGUUCGGGGACAUCCAGGGUUACAUGGAGAAAGCCUGUCCUGAAAAGAAGAAAGCAUUUAAGUAUUUACUGUG
Molecule: long non-coding RNA, 801 nt
Filed under: Rattus norvegicus (Norway rat)
Lineage: Eukaryota; Metazoa; Chordata; Mammalia; Rodentia; Muridae
Description: long non-coding RNA NONRATT030242
Source: RNAcentral